AGAUUGAACGCUGGCGGUAUGCUUAACACAUGCAAGUCGAACGGCAGCACAGGGUAGCUUGCUAUCCGGGUGGCGAGUGGCGGACGGGUGAGUAACGCGUAGGAAUCUACCUUUUCGUGGGGGAUAACCCGGGGAAACUCGGGCUAAUACCGCAUACGCCCUACGGGGGAAAGCGGGGGACCUUCGGGCCUCGCGCGGAACGAUGAGCCUGCGUCCUAUCAGGUAGUUGGUGAGGUAAUGGCUCACCAAGCCGACGACGGGUAGCUGGUCUGAGAGGACGACCAGCCACACUGGGACUGAGACACGGCCCAGACUCCUACGGGAGCAGCAGUGGGAAUAUGGACAAGUGGGGAAACCUGAUCCAGCAAUACCGCGUGUGUAGAAGAAGGCCGUUCGGUUGUAAGCUACUUUAGUACGAGGAAAGAAAGG
This 429-nucleotide ribosomal RNA is filed under the name uncultured soil bacterium. RNAcentral describes it as "bacterial SSU rRNA". It matches the Rfam family "Bacterial small subunit ribosomal RNA", at positions 26 to 454 of the family's 1533-position model. The record is from RNAcentral.